CAUGGUCCUAAAACCUCCCACCCCCAACUCCCAGUCCCGUUCCCAAGAAGAUGGGGAGAAAGGGCACUGGCAACCCCAUGCAGUGAGAUCAGCCCCAGCCAGCCCAGGAGUCCCUGACAGGUGCCCAGGGCUGCCUCUCCAUGGUCCUAGAGCCCCUCGCUUAUGUGCUGAGCACCGACUGAGAAUGAAGAUGCUGGAGAAGGCUCGCCAGACCCUCGUCCCUUCCCACGCUCAAAAAUUCCAGGACUUUUCUUCCUAGAAGUUCAAGGCUGUA
RNAcentral lists this long non-coding RNA (274 nucleotides) under Homo sapiens (human). RNAcentral describes it as "HSALNT0378766". Lineage: Eukaryota; Metazoa; Chordata; Mammalia; Primates; Hominidae. The record is from RNAcentral.